RNAcentral lists this ribosomal RNA (443 nucleotides) under Acanthamoeba sp. AcP8. RNAcentral's name for it is "SSU rRNA". The stretch from base 1 to 382 matches the Rfam family "Eukaryotic small subunit ribosomal RNA", at positions 754 to 1116 of the family's 1831-position model. The record is from RNAcentral. Lineage: Eukaryota; Discosea; Longamoebia; Acanthamoebidae.
ACCGUGAAAAAAUUAGAGUGUUCAAAGCAGGCAGAUCCAAUUUUCUGCCACCGAAUACAUUAGCAUGGGAUAAUGGAAUAGGACCCUGUCCUCCUAUUUUCAGUUGGUUUUGGCAGCGCGAGGACUAGGGUAAUGAUUAAUAGGGAUAGUUGGGGGCAUUAAUAUUUAAUUGUCAGAGGUGAAAUUCUUGGAUUUAUGAAAGAUUAACUUCUGCGAAAGCAUCUGCCAAGGAUGUUUUCAUUAAUCAAGAACGAAAGUUAGGGGAUCGAAGACGAUCAGAUACCGUCGUAGUCUUAACCAUAAACGAUGCCGACCAGCGAUUAGGAGACGUUGAAUACAAAACACCACCAUCGGUGCGGUCGUCCUUGGCGUCUCGGUUUCGGCCGGGGCGCGGGGAUGGCUUAGCCCGGUGGCACCGGUGAAUGACUCCCUAGCAGCUUGUG